Molecule: long non-coding RNA, 342 nt
Organism: Chenopodium quinoa (quinoa)
Lineage: Eukaryota; Viridiplantae; Streptophyta; Magnoliopsida; Caryophyllales; Amaranthaceae
Exons: 2
Source: RefSeq, a predicted model, not a curated record
GGCGCCCUUCUGUAGGCUACGAUGCUUCUUCUGAUUUCGGCUAGUUCUUUGUCACAUUUCUUUCUAACCACUUAUUUGAGGUGCAUGGGGAGCUAAAUGGAGCUGAAGUAUAGUAACUAGCUAGUCAUCUAACAAAUGGCGCAUAUAUGUUGGCGACUCUUAUUCAAGUUCAAGUUUGUGAAGAUUUGGAAAUUCUGGCUUAUAUAUAUGUUGAAAAUUUGUAUUUUGGAGGAUUAAAUUAAUUAUAUAACUUUUAUUUAUUAUUAGUAGGGUGUCAUACAAAAAACAAGCAACUAAUAUUUUAUAAUGUACGUAUUUAGCAUUAUAAUUAUUUUAUAUAAA